Long non-coding RNA from Gallus gallus (chicken), 1428 nucleotides. NCBI's taxonomy places the organism in Eukaryota, Metazoa, Chordata, Aves, Galliformes, Phasianidae. The record is from Ensembl.
ACUUUCAGCAUGCAGGAACAACUCUUUUGUAAGAGAUGAGAAGAACAGUACCUCAGAGCCCACCAGGAGCUCCUUUACUGUUAGGAUCCAUGCAUAUUCAUUGAUCAGCCAGUCAGUCACCUCUUUCUCUUUGGCACUGAUUGACAUUAUGACCUGAAGGGAAAAACAGAUUUGAUACCAACACAGAAACUUCUAUAGCAACCAGCCAACCUCUUGUGACAAUAAUAGGAGACUAAUCAGUUAUAGCUGAACGAAAUUAAGAGUACUGCUAUUUUACAGAGUUAUAAUGAUGUUCUCUGGCCUAAGGUGAACACAUUUCCCAAAUAUAAUCAUGACAUUACUAAUUAUUCCAAAUCUGCAGGUCUACCCUAUCCCAACUGCUCACAUUUCCUCUUUGUGCCAGAAUUUUCUUCAGGAACAGUUCAAACAACAUCCAAAGCUCCUCUGUGUGGCCCUUCAGCUCCUUGUCUUAUAGGAUAUGUCUUCUUUGUCCCUGCUGCUCGGAUCUCACCCAGUGGCCUGUGGCAGACUCCUCCUAAACCUGGAAAAUUCUCACAGGUUUCUUCAAACACAUUUAGGAAGAAAAUGCAACUGAAAAUGGCAAAUACAAAUCCAGGUACAGGAAUGAGAGGCGAAACUGAAAUUCAUGGAUUAUUAAGUCCUGAAGGAGAAAGAACAGGAAUGGCCUACUCAGCAAACUUUAUUUAACAAUAAGAACUUCAGAGUGGAGAGGACACUGAAUCCACCAUACUUAAGUUCCCAACAGAAAGAUUUAAAAAGACAUCCUUGGGAUUAAGCAGCUCUGUGUUCUCUUCAUAGAAAUUGUCACUCUGAGUCUUGUAAUAUUUCCAUGCAUUGACAAAAGCUGAACUGGGUUUGGAUUCUAUUCUGGAAACCAGCCAUCAAAAGCUGAGGAUCUAAAAGUCUUACACAGCAUUCUUGUUGAUCUCAAUAAGCUUCUAGAAUGAAAGCAUGGAUAUAUUAAAGGAUUUUCCAUCCAAAGUCAAAAGAUAACAAGGAAGAAUAAAAUAGAAAAUAACUAUUGGGAUGCUGGGUUUUGUUUUUUUUUAGAUGUGAGCAAUUCUGUUUGAUUUAAAAUAGUUACUAUAAAACUUUAAUACAUAUACUUCUUUAACCAUCAGCUAUUUCUGAAGAAGUGAACUACAAAUGAGACAGGAGUGUGUUCAGUGUUUGAACUGACUGUUAACCUUGGAACUGUGUAUUUGCAACUCCUUUCUAAGGAGGGUGGUCCUAGAACCAUCACCCAAAAUGUGCUUAAAAAUGAGAAUUAGAAUCUGCUGAGUCCUAAUUAACUUUAAAUCACAGACCUCCAAAUAAAUCAGAUGAAUGAUUACUAAGGAAAACUUAACCAGUACUCUGAGAAAAUCAUUGGACACCUGACGGUGUCUUUAUUCUUUACAUCUAUGC